This 319-nucleotide long non-coding RNA is filed under the name Rattus norvegicus (Norway rat). RNAcentral describes it as "long non-coding RNA NONRATT012325". Lineage: Eukaryota; Metazoa; Chordata; Mammalia; Rodentia; Muridae. The record is from RNAcentral.
CUCACUGUCCAUGCAGAUGGCUCUUCUUUCACCUCCACAAUGUUGCUUGGUUUGGCUGCUGAGGGUGGGACGGUUUCAUUCUGACCAAGCACUAUCACACGACACCAGGGAUGAGCUGAGUCCUCAUACUGAAAUAUCUUCCUGGGUGGAUGCUUGUCAAUUUUUGUGUUGGUAUUUAUUUGGAGACUGCCUGUUUCACUUCCUUCCAUAGUCGUGGUCUGCUGGGGUUUUGCCUGGACGCAAAAAUCAGGUUGCUGAAAACUCAGGUGAACUGAAAGAACUGGAUCCAAGGGACCCUUUGGAAUAAUUCCAUGGACAG